Molecule: ribosomal RNA, 131 nt
Filed under: uncultured Acinetobacter sp.
Lineage: Bacteria; Pseudomonadati; Pseudomonadota; Gammaproteobacteria; Moraxellales; Moraxellaceae
Description: partial 16S ribosomal RNA
Source: RNAcentral
CCACGCCGCGUGUGUAGAAGAAGGCCUUAUGGUUGAAAGACUUUAAGGGAGGAGGAGGCUUACCUGGUUAAUACCUAGGAUAAGGGGACGUUACUCGCAGAAUAAGCACCGGCUAACUCUGUGCCAGCAGC